UACGUAGGGUGCGAGCGUUAAUCGGAAUUACUGGGCGUAAAGUGUGCGCAGGCGGCCGAGCAAGUCGAGUGUGAAAGCCCCCGGCUCAACUGGGGAGGGUCAUUCGAUACUGAUCGACUAGAAGGCAGGAGAGGGAAGCGGAAUUCCCGGUGUAGUGGUGAAAUGCGUAGAUAUCGGGAGGAACACCAGUGGCGAAGGCGGCUUCCUGGCCUGUUCUUGACGCUGAGGCGCGAAAGCUAGGGGAGCAAACGGG
This 253-nucleotide ribosomal RNA is filed under the name uncultured bacterium. RNAcentral's name for it is "partial 16S ribosomal RNA". It matches the Rfam family "Bacterial small subunit ribosomal RNA", at positions 524 to 776 of the family's 1533-position model. The record is from RNAcentral.